AAAAUAAAAGGAGUUUUUCAACCCUAGGUUUACAGAUCGGAACUUGUAUGUGUCACCUGAGGACCCGCCGGAACCUCCGAUGACGGCAUGCAAGCCCGAAUUUGAGUUAAACAAGAGAAAAAUAAAAAAAAAGAUUUCAGAGAUUUUUUAACUUUCUUUCUUGUUGUUGAUGACUGAGGAUGGGGAGGAAGAGGUGAAGGAGAGGAAGAAAAGAAAAAAAAAGGGGAGAGAAAGAGCCGCGGCGGCGCCGGUUGUGGAAGCGGCGUUCGAGAGGAAGAAGAAGAGAAGAGAGGAAAAGAAUUAGAGAGAAGGGAGAGGUUUUAGAGAGAAGUCAGAGAGAGUUGAGAGGAGAGGAGGAGAGGAGAGAGGGUGG
RNAcentral lists this long non-coding RNA (373 nucleotides) under Linum usitatissimum (flax). RNAcentral's name for it is "long non-coding RNA (LUSI_LNC007451)". The record is from RNAcentral. Lineage: Eukaryota; Viridiplantae; Streptophyta; Magnoliopsida; Malpighiales; Linaceae.